UACGAAGGGGACUAGCGUUGUUCGGAAUUAUUGGGCGUAAAGCGCACGUAGGCGGUUUUAUAAGUCAGGGGUGAAAUCCCGGGGCUCAACCUCGGAGCUGCCUUUGAUACUGUAGAUCUCGAGUCCGAUAGAGGUGAGUGGAAUUCCUAGUGUAGAGGUGAAAUUCGUAGAUAUUAGGAAGAACACCGGUGGCGAAGGCGACCCACUGGAUCGGUACUGACGCUGAGGUGCGAAAGCGUGGGGAGCAAACAGG
Molecule: ribosomal RNA, 253 nt
Filed under: uncultured bacterium
Lineage: Bacteria
Description: partial 16S ribosomal RNA
Rfam family: Bacterial small subunit ribosomal RNA
Source: RNAcentral